RNAcentral lists this unclassified non-coding RNA (294 nucleotides) under rhizosphere metagenome. Its description in RNAcentral is "partial ribosomal RNA internal transcribed spacer region". The record is from RNAcentral.
GUAGGUGAACCUGCGGAAGGAUCAUUAACGAAUAACUAUGGUGUCUUGGUUGUAGCUGGCUCCUCGGAGCAAUGUGCACGCCCGCCAUUUUUAUCUUUCCACCUGUGCACCGACUGUAGGUCUGGAUGACUCUCGUACUCCGGUGCGGAUGCGAGGAUUGCUCUCGGGCUCUCCUCGAAUUUCCAGGCUCUACGUCUUUUUACACACCCCAAACGUAUGAUACAGAAUGUAGUCAAUGGGCUUGAUCGCCUAUAAAACACUAUACAACUUUCAGCAACGGAUCUCUUGGCUCUC